Long non-coding RNA from Dermacentor andersoni, 845 nucleotides. RefSeq lists it as uncharacterized. NCBI's taxonomy places the organism in Eukaryota, Metazoa, Arthropoda, Arachnida, Ixodida, Ixodidae. The record is from RefSeq and is a predicted model, not a curated record.
GAAAAGUGGGAACCUCUAGGGCGCCGCCCUGUUGCUACUGGUCAAUGUGGCCAGCGCAAUUACUAUUGAAAGAGCUGAAAACAAGUACAGGUCACCUUAUGCUUUGUCGUCUAAAAACGCAUACCUGAUGGUUUUAUGAAGGUGGUGCGUUAAUAUUAAGUUCACAGAAAGCGAUCGCUAAGUCCAUGACUUAUGUAAAUAACGAUGUACGCAUUCAUGCAAUAAAGGAUGACGCGAAUUUCGGUUUCGAAUCUGUUUUUUUCGAUGCGUAGUAGUUUCGUACAGUUUAGGUUUGACAUGCGAUCGCGCGUCGACAUCGGACGCUAUGGCACACUCGUGCCUUAUGUGCCACCGAAGCCCCGAAGUGCUCUGGCAUAUACCUUCACAUACAAUGCCUACACCUAGCUACAGCAGCUCCCUCAUACAGACUCCACAAGCCAAGAGGCCGUGGAGGCAAAUGCAGGCAGCCAGCACACCCCGAACAGCCACCUUGACUGCGGGCGUGUCACCCUAGUCGCCAAGGAAACAUUUGAGGGAAAGCGACAGGCAAUGUGAACAGCCACUUCUCCAUGUAAACAAUACUCUUUCUCUCGGAUGACUCCUACGCCUCGCCACGCCAGCACACUUGUGCACAAAGAUGCUGCGGAGGCACGUGCAGCUCAGAGGCAAGAAGCAGUGGCACUGGUGUCGACAUUCACCCACUUUCUUUUUCUUACACUGAGGCAGCCAGUACACCUCGAACAGCCACCUUGACUGCGGGUGUGUCAGUAGAUUCCUGUUGUACAUAUGCUCAUAAUAAACAUCAGUAAACUUGAACUUGAUAAUAAACUUGAAGGCAAAUGGGA